RNAcentral lists this long non-coding RNA (248 nucleotides) under Gossypium raimondii (Peruvian cotton). RNAcentral describes it as "long non-coding RNA (GRAI_LNC000344)". The record is from RNAcentral. Lineage: Eukaryota; Viridiplantae; Streptophyta; Magnoliopsida; Malvales; Malvaceae.
CUUAAAGUGCCCUUUGUGGGUUUUCACCUUGGUCUUUUUCGUUAUUUAGGAAUCAAAACGCCCUUUGCGGGUUUUCACCUUGGUCCCUUCUCCUUCAAGUGAAGUAUUUCUUGACUGAAUCUGAGUUUACAGGAUUUGACAAGUUUUUACCAUCCAUCUCACUUAGAAUUAAAGCUCCUCCGGAAAAGACUUUCUUUACAACAUAAGGACCUUCCCAAUUUGGCAUCCAUUUUCCUCUAAAAUCUUUU